This is a long non-coding RNA of Dermacentor silvarum, 2316 nucleotides long. RefSeq lists it as uncharacterized. The record is from RefSeq and is a predicted model, not a curated record. Lineage: Eukaryota; Metazoa; Arthropoda; Arachnida; Ixodida; Ixodidae. The transcript has 3 exons.
AGGCCUAACACCAGCUGACAAGGCCCCUACCCCCGGAUGGCAUGACCGCGUUCCUGCCUGCCAAUCUGCUUCGCUCCUGCCAUGGCGACAUUUACACCUUUCCUCUCCUAUCGCCUUUUUCUGCCACACUCCCCUCCCCAUUGGUGCUGAGCCGUGCUCCCUCAAGGGCUGCAGAAGAUAGCGCCAACCUUUCCUUUCCCAAAAUGAACUACUUAGUAGCUCAUUGUCCCAUCUCCAAGGUGAUCCUGUGCUGCUGCAUCUGUACACCCAGUGUGUGUGUGUCCAAGUCAGAAAUGUGCAGUUUGUGAAGGUGUUUUUUUACAGGGAAAGGGAAGAGAGAGAAGAUGGCUCUCAAAGUUUCAGUUUAACCUUGCAACUAGCAGUGAGCAGCCCCAUACGAAGCACUUAUGAUGCGCCUAGUUGACUGGUGCUUCUUCGUUACUUGUGACCGUAGAGAAGACGGCACCCGGGCUAUCUGAGGAGCUUGAGCUGAUUACACGAGCAGUCUCAUAACUGCAUCAGUGUUGAUCAGAAAAUGUAUGGGAGAGGCUCUAUGCAACUACGCUGUAAAGGUCGUGGUACUUGUUGGCAGCUUGGAGAAAAGGCCUGCUGCAACAAGUGAAACCCAAAGCCAGACCAGUGAGACAAAAAGGAAACUUGGAAGUUUGGUGCCCAGCAUGAAAGUGUUUUUGGUGAGAAUGGUUCGCUGUUGUAAGGAAGCAGCAAGCUGUCUGCAUUAUUCAGCAUAUUGCACAGAUUAAGACACAAGCAGACGGUCUGAAGAUUUAGACUUGUAAGGUGUGAUUGUAUUGAUUAUGAAACAAUAUUUGUGGCUUUACAGUAAGAAAAGUUGACAGAAGCUAGUGGUUGAGUUGAGAGAAGCUAGCCACUAUGACUUGUAAGACCAUGUGCCUUAUUGGCUUCUUUGUGCAAGCUUAUAGAAGAGACUCGAUGAGGCUUGUGAAUUUCAUUCACCUUAGAUUUCACUGGUCCUUAGAAGUGCAUGUGUGAAAGCAGUAUAACAAUGCGAAAAUCUUCAUGUCAUGCAACAUGCAUUUUGCUUUAUUUGUUGCUUGGCAGGUUUCUUUCUUUCGCAUUUGUACAGCUGGGGCCAUUUCUUGGGUGUAUUGCACAUUUGCAUAGUUUUGUGUGCUGCAUUUUAACCUAUGUAAUGCUUGUAAAUUGUCAGUGGAGCUUAGAUUCUCCCUGAUUUAUGUCAUAAUAACAUCAAAGCAUUUGAAAAAACCUGUGCUGGCACUCUUUGGCCGCACAUAGCCCUUACCCUAAUAAACACAGUAUAAUUAUGUCAGUGGAGCAUGUUUUCUGUGAUAUUAUUGGUUUUGACAAGAACGUUCUGUACUCACUUUCACUUUUGUUUCGCAGCUGCUUUGGCCGGAGAUGCGGCUGACAUCAUUAUGAAACAAACUUUUGAUGUUUGUUGGUUGUUGCACAUAGGUUUGUGGCAAUUCACCACUCGCUUGUGGUUGGGCAGCAAAAUCUAACAUAUGGCAGUUAUUAAAUUAUGUUUGGCUGCAACACGGAGCUGCAUAGUGCAUAUGAUAAUUUUAAAUGACCUCAAGUAAUGUUGAUAUAGCCAUAUUUUCAGUUUAGGCACUUGGUGUAAAUCCCAGUAAAUUAUUGGAACUGUGAAAGUAUAUCUGUUAAAUCACUAAAGCCUAAACUGUCAAUAUGGCUACAUCACCAUCACUUGAGUAUUGGAACUGUGAAAGUAGAACUGUUAAAUCACUAGAGCAGUUCAUUGUGCAAGUGAGGCAGCACAUGGUAAAUAUCGAUUGUUCAGGUAAUACAUAACACGAACAUGCCCUACUAUGAUCUCUGUCCCAUAAGAGGUUUUUUUAAUAAAACACUUAAAAGAAGAAUGCCAGUUUACAGAUAUUGCUCAAGAAUAUUAUGUCAGCAUCUGAACGAAGGGUGUUGAAUGUUGGAGAAUUCCUUGGAAUCAACAACAUACUACUCGUACACAGAAGUACUGCUAAAAAUGUAUUGUGUCUGUGAAGUUUUGUUAUGUACAAAAAAAAUUGCUUGGCCUGCUGAGCAGCCCUGUCAUAAAGUUGGUAAUUUUGUGCAAGGUUGCCCAUUAUCUACUCUUUCUGCUGCUUUAUCCCUUAUUGUGCCCAGCAAACGUUAGUCUAAUAUGAUAAAUGUAUAAGCAGUUAUGUUUGUGGAGUUCAUGCUUUCUAUAAUAAAAAGGAUCACGAGAAGUUUCCAGUUCUAUUUUGGAAGUAAGUUGUUGCAUGUCCUGCUCAUGUUUUCGAGCGUCUAUUGACCUGAAAGUGCAUCCAGAGGCAGUAUCAA